RNAcentral lists this ribosomal RNA (402 nucleotides) under bacterium. RNAcentral's name for it is "partial 16S ribosomal RNA". It matches the Rfam family "Bacterial small subunit ribosomal RNA", at positions 355 to 776 of the family's 1533-position model. RNAcentral also lists the same sequence under 1 other name. The record is from RNAcentral.
UGGGGAAUUUUGCACAAUGGGGGAAACCCUGAUGCAGCGACGCCGCGUGAUUUAGAAGGCCUUCGGGUUGUAAAAAUCUUUUCUAUGGGAAGAAAAUGACAGUACCAUAGGAAUAAGGACCGGCUAAUUACGUGCCAGCAGCCGCGGUAAUACGUAAGGUCCGAGCGUUGUCCGGAAUCAUUGGGCGUAAAGGGUACGUAGGCGGGUAAGCAAGUUAGAAGUGAAAUCCUAUAGCUCAACUAUAGUAAGCUUUUAAAACUGCUCAUCUUGAGGUAUGGAAGGGAAAGUGGAAUUCCUAGGGUAGCGGUGAAAUGCGCAGAUAUUAGGAGGAAUACCGGUGGCGAAGGCGACUUUCUGGCCAUAACCUGACGCUGAGGUACGAAAGCGUGGGUAGCAAACAGG